CAACUAGAAUUAGGAUGACCCCAGGGCUGCAUGUGUGCUAAGAGCUUUAUGUGCAUUCUUUCAUGCUCACAACCUUUGCAACCUGUGCUCCUAUAAUACCUGUUUUACAGAUGAGGAAGCUGAGCCACGGAGAUCUUAAGUGGAUUGCCCAAGACUGGAGAGUGGCAGAAUCUGAACUCAACCAUCACCACCAAGUCAUCAUCAGUAUACACAAACAUGGACCUGCUGAUGUGCAACACUGAGCAUAAGGCCCAGUCCCUGAAUCUGAAUGUCCUGUGCCUGAGGAAAUAAGGUCUUCAAGGAAGGCAAUAAAGGAACCAACAUGUACUGAGCAUGUUCUGUGUGUGGUCCACUUAUGUAAAAUACAUCACACAUGAGUAGAGACUGAAAAAUAUCACUCUUUUGACAGCUGGCACAAGAGGAAUUUUAGGAAGAAGAGAGUAUUUAGAAAAUAUUGUUAGGCUACUUAGUGGUAGAGUGAGGCCUGGAGAACUGGCCUGGAUGAAGACUGUGUCACAAAGCAGUGGCAAAAGUGAAAACUUUGAAUUUGGGAAUGAGGUAAGCAAACAUGGGAGAGAUGGUAUAAUGCUCCACAUUUCUCUCUUCUGAAGUGAAAUGCAGAUGUUAGAUAGUUAAAAGAGAGAUCAAAUAGAGUCUGACUGUAUUAAUAAUUCAGGUCACAGGGUUAUAUGUGCUUAUCCUCAAACUGCCUAUCCAAGGGGGACUAGUAGAAGGAGUUCUGAAUUCUACCUUGGAGAGGUAAGAGAUAUAAUUUAGGCCGGGCCGGGGGCCCAAGCCUGUAAUCCCAGCACUUUGGGAGGCCGAGGCGGGUGGAUCACGAGGUCAAGAGAUCGAAACCAUCCUGGUCAACAUGGUGAAACCCCGUCUCUACUAAAGAUACAAAAAAUUAGCUGGGCAUGGUGGCGCGUGCCUGUAAUCCCAGCUACUCAGGAGGCUGGGGCAGGAGAAUUGCCUGAACCCAGGAGGCGGAGGUUGUGGUGAGCCGAGAUCGCGCCAUCGCACUCCAGCCUGGGUAACAAGAGCGAAACUCCGUCUCAAAAAAAAAAAAAAAAAAAAAAGAUAUAAUUUAGAGCAUUUCUGAAACACACAAAAGCUGUUUAGACGAUGCUGGGAGUGUGUGUGGGGAAACACCAUAGGUUUCUUAGAAAUGGAAAUCCUCCUUUGACUUUAUUUCCAUCCCUUCCUUCUCGAUUACAGAG
This 1220-nucleotide long non-coding RNA is filed under the name Callithrix jacchus (white-tufted-ear marmoset). Its description in RNAcentral is "lncRNA (ENSCJAG00000080161.1)". Lineage: Eukaryota; Metazoa; Chordata; Mammalia; Primates; Cebidae. The record is from RNAcentral.